AAGAGAAGAAAAAGCCCCACAUAAAGAAGCCCCUUAAUGCAUUCAUGUUGUAUAUGAAGGAGAUGAGAGCGAAGGUGGUGGCUGAGUGCACAUUGAAAGAGAGUGCAGCCAUCAACCAGAUCCUCGGGCGCAGGUGGCACGCCCUGUCCAGGGAAGAACAGGCAAAGUACUACGAGCUAGCCCGGAAGGAACGACAGCUUCACAUGCAGCUGUACCCUGGCUGGUCUGCACGGGAUAACUAUG
This 243-nucleotide long non-coding RNA is filed under the name Rattus norvegicus (Norway rat). RNAcentral's name for it is "long non-coding RNA NONRATT001884". The record is from RNAcentral. Lineage: Eukaryota; Metazoa; Chordata; Mammalia; Rodentia; Muridae.